CUUUUAUAUACUUUCCUCGUAAUGAACAUACCUUCACUUCCAUCUGUUAAAGUUUCCAAUUUAGCAGCAAGCGUUUCUAUUUGUUGAACCAUAUCAUUAGAAGAAUCUCUUAGUUUGCAUAUUAGUUCGUAUUCCUUUUGCUUUUCCUCAAUCCUUGCUUGAAGCAUGUUCACGCCAAAUGUUUGUAGAAGAAGGUACGAAAUUUACUAGAUUUAUCUCCUACACCAUAUAAGGCGAUUUCGGUUUUGUAAUUAUACGUUUAAAACAAAUAAUUUCCGUUUCUGGAAUUUUAUAUCUCGGAAUGUAUUACUAAUAAAGAGGUUGAUAAUAGAGACUAACAAAAAAUAUAAU
Non-coding RNA from Schizosaccharomyces pombe (fission yeast), 351 nucleotides. NCBI's taxonomy places the organism in Eukaryota, Fungi, Ascomycota, Schizosaccharomycetes, Schizosaccharomycetales, Schizosaccharomycetaceae. The record is from the annotation of a GenBank genome assembly.